This 344-nucleotide unclassified non-coding RNA is filed under the name soil metagenome. RNAcentral's name for it is "partial contains 5.8S ribosomal RNA, internal transcribed spacer 2, and large subunit ribosomal RNA". The stretch from base 1 to 120 matches the Rfam family "5.8S ribosomal RNA", at positions 35 to 154 of the family's 154-position model. The record is from RNAcentral.
GAUGAAGAACGCAGCGAAAUGCGAUAAGUAAUGUGAAUUGCAGAAUUCAGUGAAUCAUCGAAUCUUUGAACGCACAUUGCGCCCGCCAGUAUUCUGGCGGGCAUGCCUGUUCGAGCGUCAUUUCAACCCUCAAGCCCCCGGGCUUGGUGUUGGGGAUCGGCGUGCCCUCGCGGCGCGCCGUCCCCUAAAUCUAGUGGCGGUCUCGCUGUAGCUUCCUCUGCGUAGUAGCAACGCUCGCACUGGAUCGCAGCGCGGCCACGCCGUUAAACCCCCCACUUCUGAAAGUUUGACCUCGGAUCAGGUAGGAAUACCCGCUGAACUUAAGCAUAUCAAUAAGCGGAGGA